This 270-nucleotide ribosomal RNA is filed under the name uncultured bacterium. RNAcentral describes it as "partial 16S ribosomal RNA". It matches the Rfam family "Bacterial small subunit ribosomal RNA", at positions 29 to 325 of the family's 1533-position model. The record is from RNAcentral.
AACGAACGCUGGCGGCAGGCCUCAAACAUGCAAGUCUAGGGGGUGUAGCAAUACAUCACCGGCGGACGGGUGCGUAACACGUGGGAACAUACCUUUCGGUACGGAACAACUGCGGGAAACUGCAGCUAAUACCGUAUACGUCCUAGCGGAGAAAGAAUUUCGCCGAAAGAUUGGCCCGCGUUCGAUUAGCUAGUUGGUGAGGUAAUGGCUCACCAAGGCUCCGAUCGAUAGCUGUUCUGAGAGGAAGAUCAGCCACACUGGGACUGAGAC